GAUGAACGCUGGCGGCGUGCCUAAUACAUGCGAGUCGAGCGAACGGACGAGAAGCUUGCUUCUCUGAUGUUAGCGGCGGACGGGUGAGUAACACGUGCAUAACCUACCUAUAAGACUGGGAUAACUUCGGGAAACCGGAGCUAAUACCGGAUAAUAUUUUGAACCGCAUGGUUCAAAAGUGAAAGACGGUCUUGCUGUCACUUAUAGAUGGAUCCGCGCUGCAUUAGCUAGUUGGUAAGGUAACGGCUUACCAAGGCAACGAUGCAUAGCCGACCUGAGAGGGUGAUCGGCCACACUGGAACUGAGACACGGUCCAGACUCCUACGGGAGGCAGCAGUAGGGAAUCUUCCGCAAUGGGCGAAAGCCUGACGGAGCAACGCCGCGUGAGUGAUGAAGGUCUUCGGAUCGUAAAACUCUGUUAUUAGGGAAGAACAUAUGUGUAAGUAACUGUGCACAUCUUGACGGUACCUAAUCAGAAAGCCACGGCUAACUACGUG
RNAcentral lists this ribosomal RNA (497 nucleotides) under uncultured bacterium. RNAcentral describes it as "partial 16S ribosomal RNA". It matches the Rfam family "Bacterial small subunit ribosomal RNA", at positions 28 to 507 of the family's 1533-position model. The record is from RNAcentral.